Chiroxiphia lanceolata (lance-tailed manakin) is the source of this 1040-nucleotide long non-coding RNA. RefSeq lists it as uncharacterized. Lineage: Eukaryota; Metazoa; Chordata; Aves; Passeriformes; Pipridae. The transcript is spliced from 2 exons. The record is from RefSeq and is a predicted model, not a curated record.
AGGCUAAAAAGAAGAUAUUGCAAUAGACCUUUAAAGGAUCUACUUGAGAUGUCUUAUCUUCCUUCCUUCUUUCUCUCAAGGAUCUGUAAUUGAUGGUAUGCAUCAAUUUAAAGCUACCAGGCAGAAAGCAGAGAGAGAAAGGAAAAGACGAAGCUAAAGGGAAACCUUUCUCCAGUGGCCAGGUCAGAAGAGCAAUUGGGUCACCCGACAAGAAUUCUUUGGGCAUCUUCUACAACACACCGAGUACUGAUGACAGUGAAGAUGAUGCUAAUGAUGAUCUUCAUGUUUUCUCCCUAGUAUAAUUACUCUCUUCAGUGAGACUACUUCAAGAUCCCCAGUGUAGUUUCUGUUGAUGACUGUAUUAGUGUUGGUUAGAGAAGCUUAAUUAAAUGUGGGUUUUGCAUGCUAAUUGAUUGUUAAUCUUUGCGCAUGUAUAUUAAUUGGUUAAUAUUUAUCAAAUAUGAAAAUGACUAUUAUCUUGUUAUCUACUAGGUUCUAUUUAUUGUAAUAUGAAUGUAUAGACUAAAAGCUGUAAGGUGAAUGGUGAAGAGGUCUUAGUACAGGAUUAUAGACUAAAGCUACAAGUAAAAGGGUGAGAAGAUAAGGGAAAAAGCAAGGUGGUGAUCUAUUCAAACACAAAGUGGAACAGAGGCUUAAUUCCAUUGUAUACAGAUGGGAAUCUAGUGCUUUUGAGAUGUUUAGGAUAUUGUAGCUAUUCCAGAUGAGCAUGAUUUUCCUAUAGGUUCUGUAUCUUUUCUGUUAGCCCUGUGAGGGUAUUUUCAUAUAUUCUAGGGGACCUGAAAUGUCACUUGAUGUCUCUGUGUGGGUAGCCAUAUUGAGCUAUAGAUAUUUGUCUUCUGGAUAAUCAGUGUUAGCUGAAAUGAGGUCUACUGUCAAUUUCCAUUAGUCAAGAGAAAAAAGUGGACUCCUCCAGGAGAAAAUACAGUAAAUGUAUGCUUAUAAGACAAGAACCUUCUCUGAACUUCUUAUUGAACUUGACUGACUAAAUAUGGAAAAUAAAGGAGUGAUUUGGUUUUAAA